Pelobates cultripes (western spadefoot toad) is the source of this 199-nucleotide non-coding RNA. Lineage: Eukaryota; Metazoa; Chordata; Amphibia; Anura; Pelobatidae. The record is from the annotation of a GenBank genome assembly.
UAGGGUAGGAUUAGGGUUGGUUUAGGGUUAGGGUUAAAGUAGGGUUAGGGGUAGGAGUAGGGUUAGGGGUAGAGUUAGGAAUAGGGUUAGGGUUACCCUACCCUAACCCUACCCCUAACCCUACUCCAACCACUAACCCUACCCCAACCCCUAACCCAACCACUAACCCUACCCCAAGCCUUAACCCUAGACCUAACCC